CCUACGGGAGGCAGCAGUAGGGAAUAUUGCUCAAUGGGGGAAACCCUGAAGCAGCAACGCCGCGUGGAGGAUGAAGGUUUUCGGAUUGUAAACUCCUUUUUUCAGAGAAGAUAAUGACGGUAUCUAACGAAUAAGCACCGGCUAACUCCGGGCCAGCAGCCGCGGUAAUUCGGAGGGUGCAAGCGUUACUCGGAAUCACUGGGCGUAAAGGGCGCGUAUGCGGUAUAGCAAGUCAGAGGUGAAAUCCUAUGGCUUAACCAUAGAACUGCAUUUGAAACUGUAAUUCUAGAGUAUGGGAGAGGUAGGUGGAAUUCUUGGUGUAGGGGUAAAAUCCGUAGAGAUCAAGAGGAAUACUCAUUGCGAAGGCGACCGGCUAGAACAUAACUGACGCUGAUGCGCGAAAGCGUGGGGAGCAAACAGGAUUAGAUACCCUUGUAGUC
RNAcentral lists this ribosomal RNA (440 nucleotides) under uncultured bacterium. RNAcentral's name for it is "partial 16S ribosomal RNA". It matches the Rfam family "Bacterial small subunit ribosomal RNA", at positions 338 to 795 of the family's 1533-position model. The record is from RNAcentral.